This 625-nucleotide ribosomal RNA is filed under the name uncultured bacterium. RNAcentral describes it as "bacterial SSU rRNA". It matches the Rfam family "Bacterial small subunit ribosomal RNA", at positions 60 to 676 of the family's 1533-position model. The record is from RNAcentral.
AGUCGAGCGGUAGCACAGGGAGCUUGCUCCUGGGUGACGAGCGGCGGACGGGUGAGUAAUGUCUGGGAAACUGCCUGAUGGAGGGGGAUAACUACUGGAAACGGUAGCUAAUACCGCAUAACGUCGCAAGACCAAAGAGGGGGACCUUCGGGCCUCUUGCCAUCAGAUGUGCCCAGAUGGGAUUAGCUAGUAGGUGGGGUAAUGGCUCACCUAGGCGACGAUCCCUAGCUGGUCUGAGAGGAUGACCAGCCACACUGGAACUGAGACACGGUCCAGACUCCUACGGGAGGCAGCAGUGGGGAAUAUUGCACAAUGGGCGCAAGCCUGAUGCAGCCAUGCCGCGUGUAUGAAGAAGGCCUUCGGGUUGUAAAGUACUUUCAGCGAGGAGGAAGGCGGUGAGGUUAAUAACCUCAUCGAUUGACGUUACUCGCAGAAGAAGCACCGGCUAACUCCGUGCCAGCAGCCGCGGUAAUACGGAGGGUGCAAGCGUUAAUCGGAAUUACUGGGCGUAAAGCGCACGCAGGCGGUCUGUCAAGUCGGAUGUGAAAUCCCCGGGCUCAACCUGGGAACUGCAUUCGAAACUGGCAGGCUAGAGUCUUGUAGAGGGGGGUAGAAUUCCAGGUGU